GCAGAUGACCGUGGCUCAGUAGUAGAGCACAAGCUUUGCCUGCAUAAGAGCCCAGGUUCAAUGUCUGGCAUCUCCA
Molecule: non-coding RNA, 76 nt
Organism: Podarcis lilfordi (Lilford's wall lizard)
Lineage: Eukaryota; Metazoa; Chordata; Lepidosauria; Squamata; Lacertidae
Source: the annotation of a GenBank genome assembly